UACGUAGGUGACCAGCGUUGUCCGGAUUUACUGGGCGUAAAGAGCGCGCAGGCGGUCGUACAAGUCGCGUGUGAAAGCCCCCGGCUCAACUGGGGAGGGUCACGCGAUACUGUUCGACUCGAAGGCAGGAGAGGGAAGCAGAAUUCCCGGUGUAGUGGUGAAAUGCGUAGAUAUCGGGAGGAAUACCAGUGGCGAAGGCGGCUUCCUGGCCUGUUCUUGACGCUGAGGCGCGAAAGCUAGGGUAGCAAACGGG
RNAcentral lists this ribosomal RNA (253 nucleotides) under uncultured bacterium. Its description in RNAcentral is "partial 16S ribosomal RNA". It matches the Rfam family "Bacterial small subunit ribosomal RNA", at positions 524 to 776 of the family's 1533-position model. The record is from RNAcentral.